Molecule: ribosomal RNA, 250 nt
Filed under: Escherichia coli
Lineage: Bacteria; Pseudomonadati; Pseudomonadota; Gammaproteobacteria; Enterobacterales; Enterobacteriaceae
Description: partial 23S ribosomal RNA
Rfam family: Bacterial large subunit ribosomal RNA
Source: RNAcentral
CGGAGUGGACGCAUCACUGGUGUUCGGGUUGUCAUGCCAAUGGCACUGCCCGGUAGCUAAAUGCGGAAGAGAUAAGUGCUGAAAGCAUCUAAGCACGAAACUUGCCCCGAGAUGAGUUCUCCCUGACUCCUUGAGAGUCCUGAAGGAACGUUGAAGACGACGACGUUGAUAGGCCGGGUGUGUAAGCGCAGCGAUGCGUUGAGCUAACCGGUACUAAUAAACCGUGAGGCUUAACCUUACAACGCCGAAG